AGUGAACGCUGGCGGCAGGCCUAACACAUGCAAGUCGAACGGCAGCACAAGAGAGCUUGCUCUCUGGGUGGCGAGUGGCGGACGGGUGAGGAAUGCAUCGGAAUCUGCCCAUUUGUGGGGGAUAACCUCGGGAAACCGGGACUAAUACCGCAUACGACCUACGGGUGAAAGCAGGGGAUCUUCGGACCUUGCGCAGAUGGAUGAGCCGAUGCCGGAUUAGCUAGUUGGAGGGGUAAAGGCCCACCAAGGCGACGAUCCGUAGCUGGUCUGAGAGGAUGAUCAGCCACACUGGGACUGAGACACGGCCCAGACUCCUACGGGAGGCAGCAGUGGGGAAUAUUGGACAAAGGGCGCAAGCCUGAUCCAGCCAUGCCGCGUGUGUGAAGAAGGCCUUCGGGUUGUAAAGCACUUUUGUUGGGAAAGAAAAGCAGCCGGUUAAUACCCGGUUGUCAUGACGGUACCCAAAGAAUAAGUACCGGCUAACUUCGUG
This 490-nucleotide ribosomal RNA is filed under the name uncultured bacterium. RNAcentral describes it as "partial 16S ribosomal RNA". It matches the Rfam family "Bacterial small subunit ribosomal RNA", at positions 29 to 507 of the family's 1533-position model. The record is from RNAcentral.